AUCACAGUUUUUAUUCAUAUUUCUCCUUUUUUUUAAUCAUUAUUUUAUUCAGACCUUGGGUAGGUGCGUCGGAGCAUGGCACAGAAGUUUCCUUAUUUUACCACUCCGGACAUGUUCCAGAAUACAGGGAGAAGGUGAAUGAACAGCUUUUUAUUGGACGGCUUUAAAAUACCACGGUUCAUAUUAAAAGUUAAAAGUUAGAGGCAUGGAUCUCGAUUUUACGAAUGAGACAUACAUGGACUCAGAGUGCGUCCGAGCGCUUCAGGACCUGAUGCAGAGCGGCGCGCUCAAUGGAAGCUUGGAAGCGUCUAACAUCUCUUGUGGCAACACUUCUACACUGCUUAUACCUGAACGUGUCGGCCAAGGGGAGGACCACACACUCCGCAUCCUGCUCUACUCGCUUAUCUUCUUUUCGAGUGUAUUUGGCAACCUACUGAUUAUCGUGGUGCUCACAUUCAACAAGCGCAUGCGCACUGUCACCAACACCUUCCUGUUGUCACUUGCCAUGAGUGACCUGAUGAUGGCCAUAUUCUGCAUGCCUUUCAACUUGAUCCCCAGCAUUCUCAAAGACUUCAUUUUUGGGGCUUUGAUGUGCAAGAUAGUGGCCUAUCUCAUGGGCACCUCAGUGAGCAUUUCCACUUUUAACCUGGUUGCCAUAGCCAUUGAGCGCUACAGUGCCAUCUGCAAGCCUCUGAAGUCACGGGCAUGGCAGACCCGUUCCCAUGCAUAUCGGGUGAUUGCUGCUACAUGGGUACUGGCCUUCAUCAUCAUGAUCCCCUACCCAAUUAUCAGUCACCUCAGACCAUUUAAACGCCCUGAUAACACCACUGCACACCAAUGCCGCCACAAGUGGCCCCUUGCAACAGCGGAGCAGACCUGGUAUGUGUUACUUCUGCUUGUGCUGUUCGCAAUUCCAGGAGUUGUUAUGAUUGUCGCUUAUGGACUGAUCUCUAGGGAACUUUAUAGAGGCAUCCAAUUUGAGACCGGCCUUAAAAAAGACUCCACUGAUGUAAAGAAUGGGCUGACUUCCUCUUUGUCUAGUAAUCCUGAUGAUGGAGACGGUUGCUAUGUUAAUGAGGUCAAACGGCAACGCUCAAUGGAGAUGUCCACCAUGUCUACAUCUACCCAGUCCAUGAAGAUUGACAGACCCCGCAGCAAUGCAUCUGGAGCCAAGCUGGAGGCCAAGAAGCGAGUCAUUCGUAUGCUGGUGGUCAUCGUUUUUUUGUUCUUUCUCUGCUGGAUGCCUCUAUACUGUGUAAACACGUGGCGGGCUUUUGAUAACGCCACCGCUGAAAGUACCCUCUCAGGGACACCCAUUGCAUUCAUCCAUUUGCUGAGUUACACCUCUGCUUGUGUCAACCCAAUAAUCUACUGCUUCAUGAAUACACGCUUCCGCAAGGCCCUGUUCGGCACUUUCUCCUGCUGCUUUGCUCCUUGCUGCCAUCAUUGCCGCCGGCGGGAACCACGUGAGAACGAGGAGGAUGUUAUGGCAACGGGGGCAUCCAUGUCCAGGUUCAGUUACACCAUAGUCAGUACCAUGGGAACCUGCUGAAGACAGUUACUACAGCAACAUAAUAUCCACAUCCUUUGUUUCCAUGCCAGUGCUAUGCGCUUAGGGAAAAUCAUUAGUAGAAACAGCCCAUAUACUGUAAUGCACCAGUCUGGAAGCUUCACCUGACUCAUGGUGCUAGGCUGAGUGUUGAACCAGGGAAAAAGGCAACAGAGGAAGACAAGUGAUGUGCCACGAUUGAGACAACACAUGAAGUUGAGGAGUCCACCAUAGGAAGAGAAACAAGAAGUUUGUUUGUCUGUUUUUAUGAAUGUACUGCUUAAUACUGGAAUCAUUAAAGCUGUGCACUAAAAGAAAGAGAUUUUCUCAAUUUUACCAAAGAUAAAGCUCUGUUUCUUUACAAAAAAGUUUUACUUUUUCUUUUUGGAUUUUGAAAACUUACUUGGACAGAACCUAUGUAUUGUGACUGAAUUGCUGGGAACUUUUCAUCUUUGAUUGAUGUAUCUUCUCUGUGUGUAGUUAAGCUAAACGAAACAAUCUGUCACUCAUGACUAGCUUUUGAGUUUGAAUACUUUAUGCUUCUCAGUUUCAGCUAAAAUAAUUGUAGAAUUUAAACUUUUACAACACAUUACAAUAAUUAUAUGUAUGAAUUAAAAAGACUUGUAUAGACCAUUAAGAUAUUUUCCUAACAUAUCAGAGAAAUUGCCCACAGAGUAUUUGUUUAACCAAACAUUUUGUUGGUGCUGGCAUCCUUUUUAAUGCUUUCUCCCUAUUCUUUUUAAUUUAAUUCUGUUACAACAGUAUUUGUUGAUAGUUGUAGUAGUAUGCAUGUGUGCACAAGUAGUUCUGCCGAGACUAUAUGAAUAGGAAUAUUGCCUACUGUGAAUCUAUUUGUCAAGCUUGGAUAGGCAGAACUGAGAGCCAAGAGCAGGCAGUCAACUCAUUUGCCAAGCACUCAAAGGUGCUGCUCAUGUAAAUGUCAAGCUUAAACAAGUAUCAUUUAAGUCAACUAGGAUGUUGCUUUUUAUUUUGUGACAUGUUUUUUUUUAUUAUUUUGUAUUGAUUGUAGAAUUAAGAGCCUGGAUCAUGUUGAGAAGCAAUUCUUUGUACUACAUGAAAGCUUAAGUCAAAGGAAAAAUCAAAGUAUGGUGUUUUGGCUGUAUAAUGCAAUGUUUGCUCAGGCAACAACUUCUUUGAUAAAAUCAAGGGGUUGGAGUAAAAAAAAAAUCUAUUUGCCUUGAGUCAGGAUGAAUAUUUUCAGCAAAAAUUAUUUUUGUUGUGCACUAGGGUACUCAUUGCACCCUAAUGCACAUUUGCUUGUAAUUAAAACUGAAAGAGUUCCUGUGUAAAUUUGGCUUUUGGUGCUCCAUGUGGUUAUUGUAAAAAAAAAAAAAAAAACACAACCACUGUAUGCAGUGUUUCAAUUAGCCACAAACAAAGCAUAAAAUUCAUAGAGUUAAGAUUAGGUGUUGUGUUUAGUUAUGUCCAGUGGAUUAAUUGCAGCAGUUGAGUGUUGUAAUUGUUAGUACAUCAAUCUCAUCAAUUGAAAUGUCAUGGUGUGAAGAAACCAUUUUGAAGAUUUAAGUCUUUGUCAUUUUUACAGUUUGUGGUCUCCAAGGCAGAAGAAGAAGAAAAAAAACGAUCUAGAAUUAGUGCAGCCAUCUUGCUGUCAAACGUCACCAAAUUCUAAAUAGUUUUUAUAAGUCCCUGCCUACCCAUUCAUCUGUACGGUACAUUAAUAGCAUUUAUAAUGAUUUGUACUAAAUGUUUAUGUUUAAUACAGACUGAUACAUUGUAUAUGGGCUUUGGUAGUUAUAUUUUGUGGGGAAAAAAUGAAUUGAUUUUGUGUUUUUGUGAGUGCCACAUCUCCAUGAAGUCUGGUCUGUCAGGUCAUGAAUUGAAUGUGAACAGUUAGGGAAUUAUUUCAGGUCCUGUUUAGGUUUACCCGGAGGCUCACUGUUGCCAGGCCACCAUUGCCUUAAGGUGUAAUGAGUGUACAGUCUUAUUAUGUCUGAGUAAAUGUUUUCAUAAAACGUCUUUAUAUAAUCAACUGUGUAUAUGUCUGACAGAAAGGACAUGUCAGAAUAAUUGAUCUGCUUCAUAUUCUGUCAUAUGAUUGCCCUCCAGAUAUUUGUGUAUACCAAAUCAAAGAUCUUUAUUUAAAAAUGUGCUGUUUCACCCCCAGUAGAAAGUCCUAAGCGUUGUUUUAAAAUAAUUAAACCUUGUGGUUUAAAAAUAAUUGUAUGUUUUUGGGAAUGUUCAAAAAUUGUUUAAAUAAAAUGUCUUUGCUGCUAACUUUGCAUAGCUUUUGGUAAUAUCUUGCCAUUUUCUUUUCUCUAAGACUGACUCCAGAUGGCACAGGUUGGACAGGGGGCUUCUGUCAUUAGUAGUAUGACUUUGGAAGAACUAGCUUUCAGUAGGAGGCCCUUCUAGCUUAUAUUUAUACACUACUGUUUCAGAGACAUAAAAGGUUUAUCUGCCAGUCAGACUUCUGCUAUAUACAUAAGUGUUUACAGUUCCCGUUUAGUCCUCAAUAGUUCUUUCUCUGAAUAAAUGUUUACAUGUAUGCAUACUGUACCAAAAUAUUCAGCAGGGCACCUACAGUUUUGUGUAAUAUCUUGUUUGUGCUAUGUAAUGUAGAGUAA
RNA transcript from Cyprinodon variegatus (sheepshead minnow), 4155 nucleotides. It is a transcript of the gene named cholecystokinin receptor-like, with no coding region annotated. The record is from RefSeq and is a predicted model, not a curated record. Lineage: Eukaryota; Metazoa; Chordata; Actinopteri; Cyprinodontiformes; Cyprinodontidae. The transcript has 7 exons.